RNAcentral lists this ribosomal RNA (1372 nucleotides) under uncultured bacterium. RNAcentral describes it as "bacterial SSU rRNA". It matches the Rfam family "Bacterial small subunit ribosomal RNA", at positions 28 to 1381 of the family's 1533-position model. The record is from RNAcentral.
GAUGAACGCUGGCGGCGUGCCUAAUACAUGCAAGUCGAGCGAACGGACGAGAAGCUUGCUUCUCUGAUGUUAGCGGCGGACGGGUGAGUAACACGUGGAUAACCUACCUAUAAGACUGGGAUAACUUCGGGAAACCGGAGCUAAUACCGGAUAAUAUUUUGAACCGCAUGGUUCAAAAGUGAAAGACGGUCUUGCUGUCACUUAUAGAUGGAUCCGCGCUGCAUUAGCUAGUUGGUAAGGUAACGGCUUACCAAGGCAACGAUGCAUAGCCGACCUGAGAGGGUGAUCGGCCACACUGGAACUGAGACACGGUCCAGACUCCUACGGGAGGCAGCAGUAGGGAAUCUUCCGCAAUGGGCGAAAGCCUGACGGAGCAACGCCGCGUGAGUGAUGAAGGUCUUCGGAUCGUAAAACUCUGUUAUUAGGGAAGAACAUAUGUGUAAGUAACUGUGCACAUCUUGACGGUACCUAAUCAGAAAGCCACGGCUAACUACGUGCCAGCAGCCGCGGUAAUACGUAGGUGGCAAGCGUUAUCCGGAAUUAUUGGGCGUAAAGCGCGCGUAGGCGGUUUUUUAAGUCUGAUGUGAAAGCCCACGGCUCAACCGUGGAGGGUCAUUGGAAACUGGAAAACUUGAGUGCAGAAGAGGAAAGUGGAAUUCCAUGUGUAGCGGUGAAAUGCGCAGAGAUAUGGAGGAACACCAGUGGCGAAGGCGACUUUCUGGUCUGUAACUGACGCUGAUGUGCGAAAGCGUGGGGAUCAAACAGGAUUAGAUACCCUGGUAGUCCACGCCGUAAACGAUGAGUGCUAAGUGUUAGGGGGUUUCCGCCCCUUAGUGCUGCAGCUAACGCAUUAAGCACUCCGCCUGGGGAGUACGACCGCAAGGUUGAAACUCAAAGGAAUUGACGGGGACCCGCACAAGCGGUGGAGCAUGUGGUUUAAUUCGAAGCAACGCGAAGAACCUUACCAAAUCUUGACAUCCUUUGACAACUCUAGAGAUAGAGCCUUCCCCUUCGGGGGACAAAGUGACAGGUGGUGCAUGGUUGUCGUCAGCUCGUGUCGUGAGAUGUUGGGUUAAGUCCCGCAGCGAGCGCAACCCUUAAGCUUAGUUGCCAUCAUUAAGUUGGGCACUCUAAGUUGACUGCCGGUGACAAACCGGAGGAAGGUGGGGAUGACGUCAAAUCAUCAUGCCCCUUAUGAUUUGGGCUACACACGUGCUACAAUGGACAAUACAAAGGGCAGCGAAACCGCGAGGUCAAGCAAAUCCCAUAACGUUGUUCUCAGUUCGGAUUGUAGUCUGCAACUCGACUACAUGAAGCUGGAAUCGCUAGUAAUCGUAGAUCAGCAUGCUACGGUGAAUACGUUCCCGGGUCU